UAUUAAUCUUAUUUGAAAAAAAAAAAGUUCAAAAAAAUUAAAAACCAAUCGACUCUUCCAUUUAACUCUCCCGAUCGCAAUCUGAACAUCUUUAAGGUGAGCUUUGUGAUGAGGAAGUCUCAAAGGUCAAUCGAUUUUUUCCCCUCGAUUGGAGUCGACGAUUGAAGAAUUUCACUCUCCCAAUCCCAAUCUGAACGACUGUGAUGAAGAAGUCUCGGAGGUCAAUCGAUUUUUUUUUUCCAUCGGUUGGAGUCGACGAUUGAAGGCAUAAAGAACGGGUUCUUAAUCGCUACUUUCCAAUUGAAAAUUGCGAUUUCAGUUGCUUCAGUCACUGAGUGCAGAGGUUUCAAAUUUGUGAUUUACCAAAGACUUGUACAACUUCUUCUUCUGCUUCUUUCUUCUACUACUCUUUCAAGUCUGAGUCAGUUCGACUCAUUCACUUGCAAAAUGUUUUUUCGCUGAUCUGCUAUUGGAGAUGAAUCCACCCCAGCACCCCGCCGCCACUACUAGCCCCAAGGCCCGUAGAUCUGACUCCAGACUUCUUUUUUGGUAUAUUCGACACGAGAAUCGAUGGGAAUGCUUGAAAGAAAUUCUGCAUGUGUGGGAAAGGCAGAACAUAGUAGUAGGUACUUGGCUAAAUAACUUCUAUAGGAAAUUGAAGAACCCAGUUCCUAUGUCACCCUGUGGAAGUGGGUGACUUUGAAUUUGAGAUACAAGAGGUUUUGCGCUGCAUACUUCGUACAGUUUUGUUUCAUCGAGAUGUUGGUCUUGUGAGGCCCAAAGAUGCGGAUUUGGAACUUUUUGAUAUUACAUAUGUCCAAUGUGGAGAUUUGGAAAUUGAAAAGAAAAUCGAGGAGAAGAUUGAGCAAUUUAUUAGUUGGGUUGAGAAACACCCCAACAAAAAGAGUCAGGUUUGUGGCGUUUAGACUGUUUAAAUUUAAACAACAUAAUGUAGUUUGCGAGCUGGCUUCGAAAGAUGUAAAAUAUAUGUUUUUUUCUUUAUGCUUUCCAAAAGGUACACUGAAUUAAAAUGUAUGGUGUUUAUUUUCAUUUCUCAGUAAUGGGGAUAUGUUCUUUCUCAACUCAUUGAUUUGUCACAUCCUUGUGUGAAAUAAGUUCUGAUGGAAAAGUUUGUGUGGGAAAGGCAGAACAUAGUAGUAGGUACUUGGCUAAAUAACUUCUAUAGGAAAUUGAAGAACCCAGUUCCUAUGUCACCCCGUGGUAUGUUUGUGUAUAUAGUAUAGUUCUAUCCCGAAUGAAAUAGGAGAUUGAUUGACUGGGAUUAUUAUCUCUAUUUGUACUUGAAUGUAGAUUCUUGAUCUUCAAAGGUUUGGCUCCUGGAAAGCUCCUCUAGCUGAUAAACUGCUUAUUUAUGACUUUGACCGAGAUUGCAAGGAUGUUGGAGUCGCUCUUUUCACUACUAAAUAUUUUGUUGUCUGAAACUGCUUGCCCAAUGCAAAGUCAGAUAUGCUUUUAUCAGCAUGGAAUCCUCCACCAGAGUGGGGAAAUUUUCUUAACCAAUACUCAAAAAUAGUGCCAAUAAGGUACUAUGGUGCCAAUAAGUUACUAUUUUCAAUUGAUCAGUCAUUCUACAUCUUCUUCUUUCUGUUUCUUUCUUCCUUUCUUUUGUCCUGAUUCUUUCUUUGAAGUAAUUAGAGUCUAGAUAUUUUGUACAAAAAGAAAGGUGUAAAUUAGAAAAUGCAUUUGAAAUUAUGAGCUGUUAAUUUUCGGUUCAAUUUUCAUACAUGCUGUUAACUUUCACAUGAUGAUUUAUGAAAUUACGUGUAAUCAUAUAAAUAUUUUAUUGUAAAUAUAUUUUUUAUUUUAAGACUUUAUUUAAUAA
This is a long non-coding RNA of Cannabis sativa, 1843 nucleotides long. RefSeq lists it as uncharacterized. The record is from RefSeq and is a predicted model, not a curated record. The transcript is spliced from 6 exons. Lineage: Eukaryota; Viridiplantae; Streptophyta; Magnoliopsida; Rosales; Cannabaceae.